Molecule: ribosomal RNA, 398 nt
Filed under: uncultured bacterium
Lineage: Bacteria
Description: bacterial SSU rRNA
Rfam family: Bacterial small subunit ribosomal RNA
Source: RNAcentral
AACGAACGCUGGCGGCGCGCCUAAUACAUGCAAGUCGAGCGAGAAGACGUAGCAAUACGUUUGUAAAGCGGCGAACGGGUGAGGAAUACAUGGGUAACCUACCCUCGAGUGGGGAAGUAACUAGCCGAAAGGUUAGCUAAUAUCGCGUACGCUCCUUGGACUUCGGUUCAGGGAGGAAAGCGAUACCGUGGGUAUCGCGCUCUUGGAUGGGCUCAUGUCCUAUCAGCUUGUUGGUGAGGUAACGGCUCACCAAGGCUUCGACGGGUAGCUGGUCUGAGAGGACGAUCAGCCACACUGGCACUGCGACACGGGCCAGACUCCUACGGGAGGGCAGCAGUAAGGAAUAUUGCGCAAUGGGCGAAAGCCUGACGCAGCGACGCCGCGUGGGGGAUGAAGGU